UAAAGUUUAUAAUUUAUUUUAUAAACGACAAUGGAUGUGAUGCCAAUGUAAUUUGUAACAUAGUAAAUUAGGAGGAUCUUCGAUCACCUGAUGCCGCGCUAGUUACAUAUAAAAGCAUUAUUUAAUACAAUGACAAAGCCUAGAAUCAAUUGUAAACGACUUUUGUAACAGGCAAGGUGUUGUAAGUGGUUGAGCAGCUGCCAUACUGCGAUCCACUGAAGCUUAUCCUUUGCUUGAUGAUUCGA
Molecule: non-coding RNA, 245 nt
Filed under: Drosophila sechellia
Lineage: Eukaryota; Metazoa; Arthropoda; Insecta; Diptera; Drosophilidae
Description: Eukaryotic large subunit ribosomal RNA
Rfam family: Eukaryotic large subunit ribosomal RNA
Source: Rfam by way of RNAcentral